UCUCCGUAGGUGAACCUGCGGAGGGAUCAUUACAGAGUUCAUGCCCUACCGGGUAGAUCUCCCACCCUAUGUUAUUAUUACUUUGUUGCUUUGGCGGGCCGUUAGGCUCCGGCCCGACUACCGGCCCCGGCUGGUAAGCGCCCGCCAGAGGACCCAAAACCCUGAAUAUUAGUGUCGUCUGAGUACUAUAUAAUAGUUAAAACUUUCAACAGCGGAUCUCUUGGUUCUG
Molecule: unclassified non-coding RNA, 229 nt
Filed under: plant metagenome
Description: partial contains small subunit ribosomal RNA, internal transcribed spacer 1, and 5.8S ribosomal RNA
Source: RNAcentral